GAGUGGCGAACUGGUGAGUAACACGUGGGAAACCUGCCCAGAAGCGGGGGAUAACACCUGGAAACAGAUGCUAAUACCGCAUAACAACUUGGACCGCAUGGUCCGAGUUUGAAAGAUGGCUUCGGCUAUCACUUUUGGAUGGUCCCGCGGCGUAUUAGCUAGAUGGUGAGGUAACGGCUCACCAUGGCAAUGAUACGUAGCCGACCUGAGAGGGUAAUCGGCCACAUUGGGACUGAGACACGGCCCAAACUCCUACGGGAGGCAGCAGUAGGGAAUCUUCCACAAUGGACGAAAGUCUGAUGGAGCAACGCCGCGUGAGUGAAGAAGGGUUUCGGCUCGUAAAACUCUGUUGUUAAAGAAGAACAUAUCUGAGAGUAACUGUUCAGGUAUUGACGGUAUUUAACCAGAAAGCCACGGCUAACUACGUGCCAGCAGCCGCGGUAAUACGUAGGUGGCAAGCGUUGUCCGGAUUUAUUGGGCGUAAAGCGAGCGCAGGCGGUUUUUUAAGUCUGAUGUGAAAGCCUUCGGCUCAACCGAAGAAGUGCAUCGGAAACUGGGAAACUUGAGUGCAGAAGAGGACAGUGGAACUCCAUGUGUAGCGGUGAAAUGCGUAGAUAUAUGGAAGAACACCAGUGGCGAAGGCGGCUGUCUGGUCUGUAACUGACGCUGAGGCUCGAAAGUAUGGGUAGCAAACAGGAUUAGAUACCCUGGUAGUCCAUACCGUAAACGAUGAAUGCUAAGUGUUGGAGGGUUUCCGCCCUUCAGUGCUGCAGCUAACGCAUUAAGCAUUCCGCCUGGGGAGUACGGCCGCAAGGCUGAAACUCAAAGGAAUUGACGGGGGCCCGCACAAGCGGUGGAGCAUGUGGUUUAAUUCGAAGCUACGCGAAGAACCUUACCAGGUCUUGACAUACUAUGCAAAUCUAAGAGAUUAGACGUUCCCUUCGGGGACAUGGAUACAGGUGGUGCAUGGUUGUCGUCAGCUCGUGUCGUGAGAUGUUGGGUUAAGUCCCGCAACGAGCGCAACCCUUAUUAUCAGUUGCCAGCAUUAAGUUGGGCACUCUGGUGAGACUGCCGGUGACAAACCGGAGGAAGGUGGGGAUGACGUCAAAUCAUCAUGCCCCUUAUGACCUGGGCUACACACGUGCUACAAUGGAUGGUACAACGAGUUGCGAACUCGCGAGAGUAAGCUAAUCUCUUAAAGCCAUUCUCAGUUCGGAUUGUAGGCUGCAACUCGCCUACAUGAAGUCGGAAUCGCUAGUAAUCGCGGAUCAGCAUGCCGCGGUGAAUACGUUCCCGGGCCUUGUACACACCGCCCGUCACACCAUGAGAGUUUGUAACACCCAAAGUCGGUGGGGUAACCUUUUAGGAACCAGCCGCCUAAGGUGGGACAGAUGAUUAGGGUG
RNAcentral lists this ribosomal RNA (1403 nucleotides) under Lactiplantibacillus plantarum. RNAcentral describes it as "Lactobacillus plantarum 16S ribosomal RNA". It matches the Rfam family "Bacterial small subunit ribosomal RNA". Lineage: Bacteria; Bacillati; Bacillota; Bacilli; Lactobacillales; Lactobacillaceae. The record is from RNAcentral. RNAcentral also lists the same sequence under 1 other name.